AGCGCUAAAACCACUCGACAACACUGCGCUGAUAUGUUCGCAUACAUAUAAAAGUGCGGCAGUGGAUUCAUUUGAAAACAAAUUAUUCUGUUGUAUAGUCACGAUCGCCUGUGAACAGUGAUUUAUAAAUUCCACUAUGAAAUUCACCAUUGUGUUUAUGUUUAUCUUCGCCAUAAUUGCUGCAGUAUUUGCCCUCCCAGAACAACGCCUAGUUGGAGCUGAAAAAUGUACCUGGGGUCCAUCAUACUGGUGCCAGAGCAAAGAAAUUGCCGAAUCUUGUAAAGCAACGCAACACUGUGAAGAAAAAGUCUGGAGCAAAGGCAAUUAGAUUACCGAUUAUACUAUUUUUUUAUUAAUAUGUUAAACUUAUAAAUAAAAAAAAACUUUAUAAAUAAAUAAAAAAUAUUAUUACAGGAAA
Long non-coding RNA from Sitophilus oryzae (rice weevil), 418 nucleotides. RefSeq lists it as uncharacterized. The record is from RefSeq and is a predicted model, not a curated record. The transcript has 3 exons. Lineage: Eukaryota; Metazoa; Arthropoda; Insecta; Coleoptera; Curculionidae.